UCCUCACCUACGACAUUGCUAAAGUCCUUUUCCACUCUGAAACACGGGGCUGAGUCACCCCUAAAUUUCCAUGACACUCCCUGGAGUAGAACCAAAGCCAUGUGCUGGACUCGAGUAGUUCUGGUUUAGAGCCUGGGGUCCACCAGACUCAGCCUUUUUUUUCUUUUUGUUUUUUGAGACAGAGUCUCACUCUGUCACCCAGACGAGUUCAGUGGCACGUUUACAGCUCAGUGCAGCCUUUACCUCCCAGGCUCAGGUGAUCCUCCCACUUUAGCCUCCCAAGUACCUGGGACUACAGGUGUGCACCAGCACUCCUGGCUAAUUAUUUUGCUUUUUUUGGUAGAGAUGCAGUCUCGCCAUGUUGCUCAGGGUGGUCUUGAACCUCUGGGCUCAGGCCCUCCUCGGCCUCCCAAAGUUCUGGGAUUACAGGUAUGAGCCACUGGCACCCAGCCCCUGCCUCAGGCUUUUUCAACCAUGGCUAAGACAUGAACUUCUCCACGGCUCAGGGUUCCAUUGCCCUCCCCUCCCCAGCCCCACAGAGAUAGAUCAGAGGAACGCAGCAGACGACACCUCACGGAAGGAGGAAACUCAGAAUCUUCUAGAAACAAAAACGUACCCAACAGGCUGGGAAGUAAGGCCUCCCAGCCAUUAGAAGGAUGGAAGCACCGGGCAGGGAUGGCCACACUGAGGGAACCUUCUGGCUCCUGGCGACCCAGUUUGGCAGGGCAGGACGCCCUCUCCCGAGACCUUCAAGUGACCAGCGAUCUCAGGACGAAGCUCCUCACACCCUGCCCGGCAGGCCCGACGGCACCAUCCCUGCAAAGAAGUCGGGGGGUGAGCGUGGCGUGCGAGGAGAGGGGCCGGCGACACCAGCCAGAGAACACGUUCCCCUCUUGCGCUGAACGCCAGAAUGGGAGACACUUCACCAUCAAGACAGCCACAAUCUGGAUUUGGCGUGGUGGCUCACGCCUGUAAUCCCAGCACUUUGGGAGGCCGAGGCGGGAGGAUCACCUGUGGUCAGGAGUUCGAGACCAGACUGGCCAACAUGGGGAAACCCUGUCUCUACUAAAAAUACAAAAAUCAGCGGGUCAUGGUGGCUGAGUAAUCCCAGAUACUCAGAAGGCUGAGGCAGGAGAAUCUCUCCAACCCGGGAGGCAGAGGUUGCAGUGAGCGGAGAUUGUGCCACUGCACUCCAGUCUGGGUGACAAAGUUAAGACUCCAUCUCAAAAAAUAACCAAAACAAACAAACAAACAAAAAGACAGCAGCAAUCUGAAUGGGAAAAUGGGCCAGUUGUCAGCAUGAGCCAUGCAACUGAAAGGAUGGGCUACACACAUAGGGCAGACCCAGGGUUUGUGGCGGCCAACAACCUCGACACUGGCAGAAGCAGAGUCCAAGACAGUGAAUGCAUAAUUAGGCUCAGAAGUUCAUAUUGACUGGGCAUGGGGAAGUUAAUCACAACAAAUAACAGAUUUUAAAAUAGGCUUUAUAUUUUAGAGCAGUUUUAGGUUCACAGUAAAAUUGAGCAGAAGGUCCUGAGAAUCUCCAUAUAUGCCCCGACCCACACACACAGCCUCCCCCACUAUCAUCACCAUCCCCCCACCCCAGAGUGGUGCAUUUGUUACAAUCGAUGAACCUACAUUGACUCGUCAUCAUCACCCAGAGUCCAUAUGUUAUAUUAGGGUUCAUCCUUGGUGUUGAACAUUCUGUGAAUUUUGGCAAAUGUGUAAUAACCUGUACCCACCAUUACAUUAUCAUACAGAGGAGUUUCACCGCCGUAAAAAUCCUCUGUGCUCAGCGUGUUCAUCCCUGCCUCCCCACAACCCCG
This 1826-nucleotide long non-coding RNA is filed under the name Homo sapiens (human). RNAcentral describes it as "HSALNT0132962". Lineage: Eukaryota; Metazoa; Chordata; Mammalia; Primates; Hominidae. The record is from RNAcentral.